AGGCUUUGAUCCUGGCUCAGGAUGAACGCUAGCGGCAGGCUUAAUACAUGCAAGUCGAGGGGCAUCGCAGGUAGCAAUACUGGGUGGCGACCGGCAAACGGGUGCGGAACACGUACACAACCUUCCUUUCGGUGGGGGAUAGCCUUUGGAAACGAAGAUUAAUACCCCAUAAUACAGGGGCACUGCAUGGUGAUAUUGUUAAAGAUUUAUCGCCGGAAGAUGGGUGUGCGUAUGAUUAGGUAGUUGGUAGGGUAACGGCCUACCAAGCCAACGAUCAUUAACUGGUGUGAGAGCACGACCAGUCACACGGGCACUGAGACACGGGCCCGACUCCUACGGGAGGCAGCAGUAAGGAAUAUUGGUCAAUGGACGGAAGUCUGAACCAGCCAUGCCGCGUGGAGGAUGAAGGUCCUCUGGAUUGUAAACUUCUUUUAUAGGAGGCGAAAAAGGGCCAUUCCUGGUCAACUGACGGUACCUUAUGUAAUAAGCACCGGCUA
Molecule: ribosomal RNA, 497 nt
Filed under: uncultured Sphingobacteriales bacterium
Lineage: Bacteria; Pseudomonadati; Bacteroidota; Sphingobacteriia; Sphingobacteriales
Description: bacterial SSU rRNA
Rfam family: Bacterial small subunit ribosomal RNA
Source: RNAcentral